UCCUACGGGAGGCAGCAGUGAGGAAUUUUGCGCAAUGGGGGAAACCCUGACGCAGCAACGCCGCGUGGAUGAUGAAGGCCUUCGGGUCGUAAAAUCCUGUCAAGUGGGAAGAAACUUCCGCCGUGAAUAGCGGUCGGGAGGUGACUGUACCACUGGAGGAAGCCCCGGCUAACUCCGUGCCAGCAGCCGCGGUAAUACGGAGGGGGCAAGCGUUGUUCGGAAUCAUUGGGCGUAAAGGGCGCGUAGGCGGCCUUGUAAGUCGGUUGUGAAAUCCCUUGGCUUAACCAAGGAACUGCAACCGAAACUACAGGGCUAGAGUCCGGGAGAGGAUAGUGGAAUUCCCAGUGUAGCGGUGAAAUGCGUAGAUAUUGGGAGGAACACCAGUGGCGAAGGCGGCUACCUGGACCGGUACUGACGCUGAGGCGCGAAAGCUAGGGGAGCAAACAGGAUUAGAUACCCUGGUAGUCCUAGCUGUAAACGAUGAGAACUUGGUGCAGCGGGUAUUGACCCCUGCUGUGCCGUAGCUAACGCGUUAAGUUCUCCGCCUGGGGAGUACGGUCGCAAGGCUGAAACUCAAAUGAAUU
This 584-nucleotide ribosomal RNA is filed under the name uncultured bacterium. RNAcentral's name for it is "bacterial SSU rRNA". It matches the Rfam family "Bacterial small subunit ribosomal RNA", at positions 337 to 911 of the family's 1533-position model. The record is from RNAcentral.